UGGGGAAUAUUGGACAAUGGGCGAAAGCCUGAUCCAGCCAUGCCGCGUGUGUGAAGAAGGCCUUUGGGUUGUAAAGCACUUUAAGCGAGGAGGAGGCUACUUGGAUUAAUACUCUAGGAUAGUGGACGUUACUCGCAGAAUAAGCACCGGCUAACUCUGUGCCAGCAGCCGCGGUAAUACAGAGGGUGCGAGCGUUAAUCGGAUUUACUGGGCGUAAAGCGUGCGUAGGCGGCUUCUUAAGUCGGAUGUGAAAUCCCUGAGCUUAACUUAGGAAUUGCAUUCGAUACUGGGAAGCUAGAGUAUGGGAGAGGAUGGUAGAAUUCCAGGUGUAGCGGUGAAAUGCGUAGAGAUCUGGAGGAAUACCGAUGGCGAAGGCAGCCAUCUGGCCUAAUACUGACGCUGAGGUACGAAAGCAUGGGGAGCAAACAGG
RNAcentral lists this ribosomal RNA (430 nucleotides) under bacterium. RNAcentral's name for it is "partial 16S ribosomal RNA". It matches the Rfam family "Bacterial small subunit ribosomal RNA", at positions 355 to 776 of the family's 1533-position model. The record is from RNAcentral.